AUUGAACGCUGGCGGCAUGCCUUACACAUGCAAGUCGAACGGCAGCACGGGAGCAAUCCUGGUGGCGAGUGGCGAACGGGUGAGUAAAGUAUCGGAACGUGCCAGUCGUGGGGGAUAACGUAGCGAAAGUUACGCUAAUACCGCAUACGAUCUAUGGAUGAAAGCGGGGGAUCGCAAGACCUCGCGCGAUUGGAGCGGCCGAAAUCGGAUUAGGUAGUUGGUGGGGUAAAGGCGCACCAAGCCGACAUUCUGUAGCUGGUCGGAGAGGACGACCAGCCACACUGGGACUGAGACACGGCCCAGACUCCUACGGGAGGCAGCAGUGGGGAAUUUUGGACAAUGGGCGCAAGCCUGAUCCAGCAAUGCCGCGUGCAGGAUGAAGGCCUUCGGGUUGUAAACUGCUUUUGUACGGAACGAAAAGGUUUGGCUUAAUACGUUGAACACAUGACGGUACCGUAAGAAUAAGCACCGGCUAACUACGUGCCAGCAGCCGCCGUAA
RNAcentral lists this ribosomal RNA (499 nucleotides) under uncultured bacterium. RNAcentral's name for it is "partial 16S ribosomal RNA". It matches the Rfam family "Bacterial small subunit ribosomal RNA", at positions 30 to 523 of the family's 1533-position model. The record is from RNAcentral.